Molecule: ribosomal RNA, 253 nt
Filed under: uncultured bacterium
Lineage: Bacteria
Description: partial 16S ribosomal RNA
Rfam family: Bacterial small subunit ribosomal RNA
Source: RNAcentral
UACGGAGGGUGCAAGCGUUGUCCGGAAUCACUGGGCGUAAAGGGCGCGUAGGCGGUCCGGUAAGUCCGCUGUGAAAGUCGGGGGCUCAACCCUCGGAUGCCGGUGGAUACUGUCGGGCUUGAGUACGGAAGAGGCGAGUGGAAUUCCUGGUGUAGCGGUGAAAUGCGCAGAUAUCAGGAGGAACACCAAUUGCGAAGGCAGCUCGCUGGGACGUUACUGACGCUGAGACGCGAAAGCGUGGGGAGCAAACAGG